AUUGAACGCUGGCGGCAGGCCUAACACAUGCAAGUCGAGCGGAUGAAGGGAGCUUGCUCCUGGAUUCAGCGGCGGACGGGUGAGUAAUGCCUAGGAAUCUGCCUGGUAGUGGGGGAUAACGUCCGGAAACGGGCGCUAAUACCGCAUACGUCCUGAGGGAGAAAGUGGGGGAUCUUCGGACCUCACGCUAUCAGAUGAGCCUAGGUCGGAUUAGCUAGUUGGUGGGGUAAAGGCCUACCAAGGCGACGAUCCGUAACUGGUCUGAGAGGAUGAUCAGUCACACUGGAACUGAGACACGGUCCCGACUCCUACGGGAGGCAGCAGUGGGGAAUAUUGGACACUGGGCGAAAGCCUGAUCCAGCCAUGCCGCGUGUGUGAAGAAGGUCUUCGGAUUGUAAAGCACUUUAAGUUGGGAGGAAGGGCAGUAAGUUAAUACCUUGCUGUUUUGACGUUACCAACAGAAUAAGCACCGGCUAACUUCGU
This 483-nucleotide ribosomal RNA is filed under the name uncultured bacterium. RNAcentral describes it as "partial 16S ribosomal RNA". It matches the Rfam family "Bacterial small subunit ribosomal RNA", at positions 30 to 506 of the family's 1533-position model. The record is from RNAcentral.